CGGUAUAGCUCAGCUGGUAGAGCAACUGACUUGUAAUCAGUAGGUCCCGGGUUCGACUCCUGGUGCCGG
Molecule: transfer RNA, 69 nt
Filed under: Pseudomonas aeruginosa
Lineage: Bacteria; Pseudomonadati; Pseudomonadota; Gammaproteobacteria; Pseudomonadales; Pseudomonadaceae
Also listed under: 12 other names
Rfam family: tRNA
About the family: Transfer RNA (tRNA) molecules are approximately 80 nucleotides in length. Their secondary structure includes four short double-helical elements and three loops (D, anti-codon, and T loops).
Source: RNAcentral